CCGACGGUGAGAGAUGAAAGCUGGGGGAGCAAACCGGAUUAGAUACCCGGGUAGUCCCAGCUGUAAACGAUGCGCGUUAGGUGUGUCAGUGACCACGUGUCACUGAUGUGCCGAAGGGAAACCGUGAAACGCGCCGCCUGGGGAGUACGGUCGCAAGGCUGAAACCUAAAGGAAUUGGCGGGGGAGCACCACAACGGGUGGAGCCUGCGGUUUAAUCGGACUCAACGCCGGAAAUCUCACCGGAUAA
Molecule: ribosomal RNA, 247 nt
Filed under: uncultured archaeon
Lineage: Archaea
Description: partial 16S ribosomal RNA
Rfam family: Archaeal small subunit ribosomal RNA
Source: RNAcentral